RNAcentral lists this ribosomal RNA (397 nucleotides) under uncultured bacterium. Its description in RNAcentral is "partial 16S ribosomal RNA". It matches the Rfam family "Bacterial small subunit ribosomal RNA", at positions 523 to 918 of the family's 1533-position model. The record is from RNAcentral.
AUACGUAGGUGACAAGCGUUAUCCGGAUUUACUGGGCGUAAAGGGCGUGUAGGCGGUCUUGCAAGUCAGAAGUGAAAUUCCUGAGCUCAACUCGGGCGCUGCUUCUGAAACUGCAGGACUUGAGUGCUGGAGGGGAUAGCGGAAUUCCUAGUGGAGCGGUAAAAUGCGCAGAUAUUAGGAAGAACACCGGUGGCGAAGGCGGAUAUCUGGACAGUAAAGAAGACAGAGGCGCCAAAGCGUGGAGCGCAAACAGGAUUAGAUACCCUGGUAUUCCACGCCGUAAACGAUGAAUACUAGGUGUAGGGGGUAUCGACUCCCUCUGUGCCGCAGUUAACACAAUAAGUAUUCCGCCUGGGGAGUACGGCCGCAAGGUUGAAACUUAAAGGAAUUGACGGGG